This 473-nucleotide ribosomal RNA is filed under the name uncultured archaeon. RNAcentral describes it as "bacterial SSU rRNA". It matches the Rfam family "Archaeal small subunit ribosomal RNA", at positions 526 to 997 of the family's 1478-position model. The record is from RNAcentral.
UGGGUCGUUAAGUCUCUUGGGAAAUCCGGCAGCUUAACUGUCGGGCGUCUAAGGGAUACUGGCGAUCUUGGAACCGGGAGAGGUGAGGGGUACUUCGGGGGUAGGAGUGAAAUCCUGUAAUCCUCGAGGGACCACCUGUGGCGAAGGCGCCUCACCAGAACGGCUUCGACAGUGAGGGACGAAAGCUGGGGGAGCAAACCGGAUUAGAUACCCGGGUAGUCCCAGCCGUAAACGAUGUGCGUUAGGUGUAUCGACGACCACGAGUCGUCGAGGUGCCGAAGGGAAACCGUGAAACGUACCGCCUGGGAAGUACGGUCGCAAGGCUGAAACUUAAAGGAAUUGGCGGGGGAGCACCACAACAGGUGGAGCCUGCCGGUUUAAUUGGACUCAACGCCGGGAAGCUCACCGGAUAAGACAGCUGAAUGAUUGCCGGGCUGAAGACUCUGCAUGACUAGCUGAGUAGUGGUGCAUGG